RNAcentral lists this ribosomal RNA (1513 nucleotides) under uncultured organism. RNAcentral describes it as "bacterial SSU rRNA". It matches the Rfam family "Bacterial small subunit ribosomal RNA". The record is from RNAcentral.
GCGUGGAUUAGGCAUGCAAGUCGAGCGGGAUCCAUGGAAUUCAAUUCUUCGGAAAAGAUUUCUGUGGUGAGAGCGGCGAACGGGUGAGUAAUGCGCAGACAACUUGCCCUCGGGUUAGGGAUAGCCCCCCGAAAGGGGGAUUAAUACCGGAUAUGGUCGCCUCGCGCAUGCGGGGUUAUCCAAAGGUGCCUGUUUACAGGUGUCGCCCGAGGAUGGGUUUGCGUUCUAUCAGCUUGUUGGCGGGGUAACGGCCCACCAAGGCAAUGACGGAUAGCUGGUCUGAGAGGAUGGUCAGCCACACUGGGACUGAGACACUGCCCAGACUCCUACGGGAGGCUGCAGUCGAGAAUCAUUCGCAAUGCGCGCAAGCGUGACGAUGCGACGCCGCGUGGAGGAUGAAGGCCUUCGGGUUGUAAACUCCUGUCAUGAGGGAACAAAGCUUGCGGGUUAAUACCCCGUGAGUGUGAUGGUACCUCAAGAGGAAGUCACGGCUAACUCUGUGCCAGCAGCCGCGGUAAUACAGAGGUGGCAAGCGUUGUCCGGAUUUACUGGGCGUAAAGGGUGCGCAGGCGGUUCGGUAUGUCGGAUGUGAAAUCUCACGGCUCAACCGUGAAAGGUCAUUCGAAACUGCCGGACUAGAGUACUGGAGAGGAGAGCGGAAUUCUUGGAGUAAGCGGUGAAAUGCGUAGAUAUCANGAAGAACACCGGUGGCGAAGGCGGCUCUCCUUGGACAGUUACUGACGCUGAGGCACGAAAGCCAGGGUAGCGAAGAAGGAUUAGAUACCCUCGUUAGUCCAGGCCCGUAAACGAAUGUGCACUUCGACUUUGGGGAGGAAUGAUCCACUCUCUGUACCGGAGCUAACGGCGUUAAGUGACACCCGCCUGGGGAGUACGACCGCAAGGCUGAAACUCCAAGGAAUUAACGGGGGCCCGCACAAGCGGUGGAGCAAGUGGCUGAAUUCGAUGCAACGCGAAGAACCUCACCAGGGUUUGACAAGACCGUCGUAGUCUCCUGAAAGGGAGAAGUCAGCUCGGCUGGACGGUGCACAGGUACUGCAUGGCUGUCGUCAGCUCGUGCCGUGAGGUGUUGGGUUAAGUCCAGCAACGAGCGCAACCCUUGUCUUUAGGUGCCACUCCCGAUCCUUGAUUGGGAAGCGCUAUAAGAUCAGAGCUGCCCGUGACAAGCACGAGCAAGAAGAAGGAUGACGACAACGUCAAACGAGCACGGACACCAGAGCCAGCACACCACACUGCAAUGUAAUGCGACAUAACAUAGGGACGAAACGAGGCAGCGCGAAUAAACGCCAGCAGGUCAUCGUUCGGAGAUCACUCUGCAAUUCGACUGCGUGAAGUCGGAAUCGCUAGUAAAUGCGUAUCAGCAAUGGCGCAUAGAAUACGUUCCCGGGCCUAGUACACACCGCCCGUCACAUCAUGAAAGCCGAAUGCACCCGAAGUCACUGGGCCAAUCCUUUUUGGAAGGCAGGUGCCGAAGGUGUGAGCGGUGAUUGGGAUG